RNAcentral lists this ribosomal RNA (559 nucleotides) under Fusarium sp. BAB-4826. RNAcentral's name for it is "eukaryotic LSU rRNA". The stretch from base 182 to 335 matches the Rfam family "5.8S ribosomal RNA". Lineage: Eukaryota; Fungi; Ascomycota; Sordariomycetes; Hypocreales; Nectriaceae. The record is from RNAcentral.
UUCCGUAGGGUAACCUGCGGAGGGAUCAUUACCGAGUUUACAACUCCCAAACCCCUGUGAACAUACCUUUAUGUUGCCUCGGCGGAUCAGCCCGCGCCCCGUAAAACGGGACGGCCCGCCGCAGGAACCACAAAACUCUGAUUUUAGUGUAACUUCUGAGUCUAAAAAACAAAUAAAUCAAAACUUUCAACAACGGAUCUCUUGGUUCUGGCAUCGAUGAAGAACGCAGCAAAAUGCGAUAAGUAAUGUGAAUUGCAGAAUUCAGUGAAUCAUCGAAUCUUUGAACGCACAUUGCGCCCGCCAGUAUUCUGGCGGGCAUGCCUGUUCGAGCGUCAUUUCAACCCUCAAGCCCCCGGGUUUGGUGUUGGGGAUCGGGCUGUACUCCAGCCCGGCCCCGAAAUCUAGUGGCGGUCUCGCUGCAGCCUCCAUUGCGUAGUAGCUAACACCUCGCAACUGGAACGCGGCGCGGCCAAGCCGUUAAACCCCCAACUUCUGAAUGUUGACCUCGGAUCAGGUAGGAAUACCCGCUGAACUUAAGCAUAUCAAUAAGCCGGAGGAA